This is a long non-coding RNA of Erigeron canadensis, 1686 nucleotides long. RefSeq lists it as uncharacterized. The transcript has 5 exons. The record is from RefSeq and is a predicted model, not a curated record. NCBI's taxonomy places the organism in Eukaryota, Viridiplantae, Streptophyta, Magnoliopsida, Asterales, Asteraceae.
UAUAAAAUAUUAUAACCGCAGGCCAUCAACAGCAGAAUCCACUAUGCGACAGUCGCUCCAGAGUGGAAAAUAAAAGACGAGGAGCGGAAACGCGCUCGUAAAGAAAAAUUGAGCAAGAGGAUGAUCCCUUUGCCAAACGUGAACAAACUCAUGAAAUCCGAAGAUUAUGAGUCUUCUCUUAAGCAAAGUCUUAGAAAUCGGGUUUUAGACAACACCCGGUUGAUGAAAAUGAGACCAAAAGAAGUAGAAUAUUUUGCUAAUCGCUUGGUAACUUUUUAUACGGCUGAUUUGAUUCCACCAGUUAAACAGGUCCAGGAUGAGUACAUCCUGCAACGAUUGACCGGGUUAAGGUAUAGGAAUAUAAUGUUUCCUAGUUAUGUAGUAAGCUGAAAACCUGAAUUUUUUUUCCUAGUUAAGGGAUAUUAGUUGUUAAUUAUCGUACUUAUUAGUAUCGGGCAAGUUCUGUGUUAACACUCAAGCACUUUCGUGUUCAUUGUUAGUUCUAUGAAUAUGAUUUAUUAUCAUUAUCUUAUAAAACCGACACUUUUAAGAAAAUAAUACACUUUUUUUUCUUCCAAAACUGCAAUCAACUACAUUUUAUAAUUUCAUGCAUUUGAACACAAUCAAAUGGCUAUUUUGAGCCAUUUAAGAUGUUUCCUAUUUUACAAUUUUUUUUAGUUUGACCCGUUAGAGUUAUAACAUUUACCCAAAUCGACCAUUUAUCUAUUAAGGGGUUGAGUUUUCCACAUCUAAGACCAAAUGGGAAUUUUUAGAAUGUAUAGCAAAGAUGUUCAUUGUCUUCGGGUAAUCUAUUUUCAUAUGAUGGUAGAAUAACUGAUUAUCCUUAAAAUCAAAAUGUAUCUAAAUAUUCCAAAGAUGUGGUUGUGCUUACUUGAUUCAUGUCCCGUUGGUAAACACCAAAGCGACCGCAGGUUUCUUAGUAAUGUCAGGGAACUUAUCUAAAAGCUUGGGUUCGAUCACGAGCCAAAAUUCCUGCUCCAUGUUCUUCUCUUUGAAAAGACGUGCCCUUUCGAAAAACUGUUCUUGAAAGUGUUCUUCAUCAUCCAACAUAAUUUUUGCAUUUGCAACCACAAAAUGGUGACAAAUACAUCCUCAGCUCAAGCAAGGAGAGCCAAAGACAUACAAGGCAUUCCAUGGGAACGAUUAAAUAUAAUAAGAGAUAGUUACAGGCAAACACGGCUGGAGUAGUACAGAAACUAUGAAAACAUCCCGUUAUCGGGUGAUAAAGUUGAUAGGGAAUGUAAACAGAAGCAGAAGGGUGGCAACUACUAUGAGUUUUUCCACAAUACAAGAUUGGUGAAGCCUACAAUCCUCCACUUUCAGCUAAGGAACCUUGUUUGGGCUACCUCAAACCAUGAUGUAUAUCUGAUGUCUAAUUACUCACUCAUGCAUUGGUCAUCGUUAUAUCCUUAAUUUUUCCGGGCAUGUAGCACCUACAGAGAAACAUACUGGGAGUUUGCUCGAAGGUUUUACACAAACUCAGAUAAGGUCCAUUAUAAAUGUCGAACUACUGCUUCAGGAGAGCUGCACGGAUGACUCGGGUAGUCUUGUUGUAUACUCAGUGGUCGAUGUGGAAGCUGUCAAACUAACUUGUGAAUUACUAUCGAUAUGUAAUUUUUGUUGUUAAUUAACUUGUGACUUAUCGUUAAUUAGUACUUGAAUUAA